UAUACAGUACCAGUACUGAGUCGAUGUGCAGGGGUACGAGGUAAUAACAAGGCUAUAUACAGUACCAGUACUGAGUCGAUGUGCAGGGGUACGAGGUAAUGAGGCUAUAUACAGUACCAGUACUGAGUCGAUGUGCAGGGGUACGAGGUAAUAACAAGGCUAUAUACAGUACCAGUACUGAGUCGAUGUACAGGGGUACGAGGUAAUAACAAGGCUAUGUACCAGUACUGAGUCGAUGUGCAGGGGUACGAGGUAAUGAGGCUAUAUACAGUACCAGUACUGAGUCGCUGUGCAGGGGUACGAGGUAAUAACAAGGCUAUAUACAGUACCAGUACUGAGUCGAUGUACAGGGGUACGAGGUAAUAACAAGGCUAUGUACCAGUACUGAGUCGAUGUGCAGGGGUACGAGGUAAUGAGGCUAUAUACAGUACCAGUACUGAGUCGCUGUGCAGGGGUACGAGGUAAUAACAAGGCUAUAUACAGUACCAGUACUGAGUCGAUGUACAACGAGGUAAUGAGGUAAUAACAUGGCUAUAAGGCCCAGUACUGAGUCGAUGUGCAGGGGUACGAGGUAACAACAAGGCUAUAUACAGUACAUAUAGGUAGGGGUAAAGUGACUAGGCAACAGGAUAGAUAAUAGUGUGUGUGUGUGACAAUUUUUUGGGCCCUUCCUCUGACCCCUGCUGGUGUAGAGGUCC
Molecule: long non-coding RNA, 698 nt
Filed under: Salmo salar (Atlantic salmon)
Lineage: Eukaryota; Metazoa; Chordata; Actinopteri; Salmoniformes; Salmonidae
Description: lncRNA (ENSSSAG00000088024.1)
Source: RNAcentral